This 231-nucleotide unclassified non-coding RNA is filed under the name Hevea brasiliensis (rubber tree). The record is from RNAcentral. Lineage: Eukaryota; Viridiplantae; Streptophyta; Magnoliopsida; Malpighiales; Euphorbiaceae.
ACUUGUGAAAUCACUCCGUCGCGAAGGAUGAUUUUGGGUUGGAUUGAACUGCAGAUUAGUGACUUUAUUUCUUAUUGAAGCUUGAUAAUUUAGGUAAAUUUACUCCAUCAAGAGGUAGGUUAGCAUUGAGUAAUUUCAGCUAAGCUAACCAUCUCUAGAAAUCUGAAGAGCCCCUCAAAAUUAUAUGAACAAUUCUUGCAUUUAGGGCUUUGGUUCAAUGGUAAGGUCAGA